RNAcentral lists this ribosomal RNA (1026 nucleotides) under Lasiodiplodia pseudotheobromae. Its description in RNAcentral is "SSU rRNA". It matches the Rfam family "Eukaryotic small subunit ribosomal RNA", at positions 72 to 1106 of the family's 1831-position model. The record is from RNAcentral. Lineage: Eukaryota; Fungi; Ascomycota; Dothideomycetes; Botryosphaeriales; Botryosphaeriaceae.
AUCUAUACUGUGAAACUGCGAAUGGCUCAUUAAAUCAGUUAUCGUUUAUUUGAUAGUACCUUACUACUUGGAUAACCGUGGUAAUUCUAGAGCUAAUACAUGCUAAAAACCCCGACUUCGGAAGGGGUGUAUUUAUUAGAUAAAAAACCAAUGCCCUUCGGGGCUCCUUGGUGAAUCAUGAUAACUUAACGAAUCGCAUGGCCUUGUGCCGGCGAUGGUUCAUUCAAAUUUCUGCCCUAUCAACUUUCGAUUGUAGGAUAGAGGCCUACAAUGGUUUCAACGGGUAACGGGGAAUUAGGGUUCUAUUCCGGAGAGGGAGCCUGAGAAACGGCUACCACAUCCAAGGAAGGCAGCAGGCGCGCAAAUUACCCAAUCCCGAUACGGGGAGGUAGUGACAAUAAAUACUGAUACAGGGCUCUUUUGGGUCUUGUAAUUGGAAUGAGUACAAUUUAAAUCUCUUAACGAGGAACAAUUGGAGGGCAAGUCUGGUGCCAGCAGCCGCGGUAAUUCCAGCUCCAAUAGCGUAUAUUAAAGUUGUUGCAGUUAAAAAGCUCGUAGUUGAACCUUGGGCCUGGCUGGCCGGUCUGCCUCACCGCAUGUACUGGUUCGGCCGGGUCUUUCCUCCUGGGGAUCCGCAUGCCCUUCACUGGGUGUGUUGGGGAACCAGGACUUUUACUUUGAAAAAAUUAGAGUGUUCAAAGCAGGCCUUUGCUCGAAUACAUUAGCAUGGAAUAAUAGAAUAGGACGUGCGGUCCUAUUUUGUUGGUUUCUAGGACCGCCGUAAUGAUUAAUAGGGAUAGUCGGGGGCAUCAGUAUUCAGUUGUCAGAGGUGAAAUUCUUGGAUUUACUGAAGACUAACUACUGCGAAAGCAUUUGCCAAGGAUGUUUUCAUUAAUCAGUGAACGAAAGUUAGGGGAUCGAAGACGAUCAGAUACCGUCGUAGUCUUAACCGUAAACUAUGCCGACUAGGGAUCGGGCGAUGUUAUUCUUUUGACUCGCUCGGCACCUUACGAGAAAUCAAAGUCU